RNAcentral lists this ribosomal RNA (468 nucleotides) under uncultured bacterium. Its description in RNAcentral is "partial 16S ribosomal RNA". It matches the Rfam family "Bacterial small subunit ribosomal RNA", at positions 28 to 507 of the family's 1533-position model. The record is from RNAcentral.
GACGAACGCUGGCGGCGUGCUUAACACAUGCAAGUCGAACGGAAAGGCCCUGCUUUUGUGGGGUGCUCGAGUGGCGAACGGGUGAGUAACACGUGAGUAACCUGCCCUUGACUUCGGGAUAACUUCAGGAAACUGGGGCUAAUACCGGAUAGGAGCUCCUGCUGCAUGGUGGGGGUUGGAAAGUUUCGGCGGUUGGGGAUGGACUCGCGGCUUAUCAGCUUGUUGGUGGGGUAGUGGCUUACCAAGGCCUUGACGGGUAGCCGGCCUGAGAGGGUGACCGGCCACAUUGGGACUGAGAUACGGCCCAGACUCCUACGGGAGGCAGCAGUGGGGAAUAUUGCACAAUGGGCGGAAGCCUGAUGCAGCAACGCCGCGUGCGGGAUGACGGCCUUCGGGUUGUAAACCGCUUUCGCCUGUGACGAAGCGUGAGUGACGGUAAUGGGUAAAGAAGCACCGGCUAACUACGUG